This 2389-nucleotide long non-coding RNA is filed under the name Sus scrofa (pig). RNAcentral's name for it is "lncRNA (ENSSSCG00005037755.1)". Lineage: Eukaryota; Metazoa; Chordata; Mammalia; Artiodactyla; Suidae. The record is from RNAcentral.
GGGGGGGGCUUUUUAGGGCUGCACCUGUGGCAUGUGGAGGUUCUCAGGCUAGCUGGCGGCUACAGCUCCGAUUAGAUCCCUAGCUUGGGAACCUCCAUAUGCCACGGGAGUGGCCCAAGAAAUGGCAAAAAGCCAAAAAAAAAACAGUGGCCCUCACACUUGAGAUGCAUCAGAACCCCCUAGAAGGCCUGUUACGGUACAAACAGCACGUCCCACCCCUGGAGCAUCAGCUUCAGUAGGCAUCUCAUAAGUUCCUGGCCGAGGGUGGGCAUGGGAGAGUGGGGGCAGGGGGAGGGGAGGCUGAGGCUGCUGGUCCAAGGACCACUCUUUGAAAACCACAGAGCUGGAGUACAGCAUCCAAAAGCAGUGAACGGGAAGCAUGCUAACGUGUCUACAGCAUGCGACUUCAUUGGGUUCCUCUUAGAAAUCUGUUUUAUGAAGUCCGGGUGGUUUCGAAGUUUAAAAAGCAUCUAUUAAUUGUGUUUUGAAGCAGAUGCUAUUAGUGGGAGACUCUUCUUGGCCUCCCUCCCAGCUAAACGUGGCCACUCUGUCCAUCUGCUAACAGUGCAGCUUCGUCGAAGCAGACACCCUGCCAGCCCGAGGGACACUGGCAGGGCCCCUUUCCUUUUACCAGGCCUGAAGGCAGAUGCCAGCCUUGCUUAGAUGAGGGCCCCGAACGCUGUUGCUGAGUCGGGACCACAGGAGGUGUGCCACGCACGUUGUGAGUACGUGUAAACACUCUCCAAAGACACAAACCCUUUCAGUCUAGCAGACGUUAAGGCAUCUUUCUCUGUAUAACUAUGUCCAAUUUCAUUUGCACUCCUCUGGGUUUACUCCUGGAAGCCAUUCAAGUCCACUAGCCCAGAACAAGCCUACGCUUUCACCGGCUUCUCCAGCCAGAUUCCACCUGUCUUCAGCGGGAGAGGCUGGCACACAGAACGCCUGACUGCUCCAGUGGUUUCUUUUUUCUUUUCUAACAUACCUCCCUGCUCCCCACCAGACCUGUAGGUUCUCUGACUUUAUUCCCAAGCACCACCUAGGCUGGUAGGUCAAGAAUACAACAGUCCAUCUCUUCGCAGUGGAAAUUACCCAUCUCAUUUCUUAAGAAACCGUUUUCUGACCCGGGUUUCUGGAGGUCACACGUUUUUCAGAGCCCCCAGUGUAUUUCGCUUGGGCAUAUCAGAAGCUCAGUUUUCAGCAAGGUGGGCAAUUUUGACUAAAUGCGGCUGUCAAGGCCUCAAAUUAGAAGAAACAUUAGCCAGUUGGCAUGACAGUGCAAUAGCUAUCUGCUCUAUCUGCCAGGUUUUCGUUACCAGCCUUGAAGCCAAAAAGAAAUGGGCUUCUUGGAAACAAGUGAUGGAAUUCUGGUUGUGAAUUAUAUAACCCACCAGCUUUCCUCAGACAACGGGGGAUACUUUUAAAAUAAAGUUUUUAAGAUGGAGAAAUGAAUGAAAAACAGUGAAAAAAAAAAAAAAAAACCCAAACCAAACCAAAGCCACCACCCAGUCCUCCCAGCUCCGUCCUGACUCUGAGAACCUCCCAGGCCAGCCCUUCCUUUCCUCUCCUUCCAGUCCAAGUAGUUAACAAGUGCUGCCACUUUAAGAGCAGGAAGGUGUUGUUUUAAGGGCCUCUAAAGCCCCCCUUCUCAAUUUCAGCUCCAAGCUGAGAUCACAUCCCCCACAGCAGCCAAGGGACAAAAGCCAUUUAUCAACCCAUCUGAUAAAACUUUCAAUGGGCUGGAUCUUUAUCUGGACCAAACCAAGACGCACACACAUUGCAAACUCCUGCUUCUCCAAAAGGGGGAUUUCUUUUUUUAAAGAAGAGGGUCAUUUAAAAUUCUGGGAGGGAACCAAACCAGUCUUCCAACCAGACCCUUCUAUAGGUGGGGAAAUUGCCUUAAAAAAAGGGAUGGGGCGAGAGGGAGCAGGUCACCCUGCUGUUUGACCCUCUAGGGAGGUUGUAAUAUUCCAGGUGAGGGUGCAGGAGGUCCAAGGGCUCUUUGGGACAUUGACACCCCUCAUCCUGUAUUUGGCUGGAACCUCCCCAGUGGAAUUCAGGCCUGUGAGCUGGUUGAGACUCUCUGGAGGCCCCUGGGGCAAGGGGUCCAGCAGGCUGGGGGUGGGGGGUGGNNNNNNNNNNNNNNNNGGCUGGGGUGGGGGUGCUGGAGCAGGGAUGGGGCGGGAAAGUAAAUGGAUCCCUUGCCCCUUACAGCUGCCUGCACAGUCCUCCCACCGGGAGCCCCAACUUACAGCCAGGCUGAGUCUGGACUGCCCAGUUCUGCCAGUUCCUGAAACCCAGUUGGCUGAGAAGCAAAACAAAACAACCCAAUCCCAGUCUAACUCAAGUCCUUUCUUGCAAAGCUCAGUAGAGCGCGGGGGCUGCGGAUCCA